This 1395-nucleotide long non-coding RNA is filed under the name Chinchilla lanigera (long-tailed chinchilla). RNAcentral describes it as "lncRNA (ENSCLAG00000025780.1)". Lineage: Eukaryota; Metazoa; Chordata; Mammalia; Rodentia; Chinchillidae. The record is from RNAcentral.
GUGGAGAGGAGCACCAGAAGGAGUGGAACAGGGACAGGAGGCCUGGGACAGAAGCAGGCUCAGGGGAGAAAUGUUUUCCGGGAGAGAAAGUUGAGAUCUCAGUUGGUGGUAAGGACACUGUCAUCAGUAAAUUACGGCUGUGUGUGUGUGUUGGGGGGGAUAUGUGACACCCUUUGGGGAUUCCUGGACCACUCAGAGUAUUUUCAAGGGAUCUGUCAGCAGACAUCUCAUUCUAGCUUGAGGGAGGUGGGGACGCUCUGGGAUGCAAGUGGGCGAGCAAGAAGAAUAGGACUAAGCAGAAAGCCUGUCGGCCUGAACAUCCAGAGGGAAGCUGUAACCCGGCAUGUGAGUGUGUUCGACCUCACAUGGCAGCCGCAGAGAUGUGCUGAAAAUGGUGCCCAAAUUCAUCAUCAGUGCUCAAAGGCUUAUUCCUGGGCCCCAGGCCAGCCCCGCCAUGCCGACCUCAGCACAGCACAGCCCACUGCUUCUCAAAGAUCCCACCCCAUGCCUCUCACUUCCGGUCUUUGCUCACCCACCUUCCUGACUCUCAUCCUCAGCUAGAGCCUUUGUCCACAAAAUGCAAAGUUAAUGUAGUCACCAACAGAUCUCUCCGUAUUUUGGACGUGGUGGCCAUGUGCCUACAUUUGUUGGGGUAAAGAGAGGAGUGUGGAAAUCUGCACCCACCUCACGUCCUCAAGUGGGAAAGGAUGAGAAGACACAGGUAAGGGAAUACAGUCAAAAAUAUUGUAUUCUUCUUUUUUUUUUUUUUGUCCUUUUGAGACAGGGUCUCGCUAUGCAGUUCAGGCUGGCCUUGAGCUCACUUUGUAACCCAGGCUGGUCUCGAACUCGCAAUGAUCCUCUUGCCUCAGCUUCCCCGGUGCUGGGAUUAUAGGCAUGUGCCACCAAGCCUGGCUGAAAAAUAUUGUAAAAUUAUGUCUGUACUAAUUAUCUAUAAACUUUUUCCUUGCCGUUGUUCCUUAUAUUGUACAGUAUCACAGUUAUUUACAUAACAUUUAUAUUGUAUUAGUUAUUGUAAGAAAUCUAGAACUGAAUUAAAGUACACAGACUACAUGCAAAUACCACACAAUUUUAUAUAAGGGACCUGACACAGGGACCUUAUACUCAGUAUAAGCAUCUGAGGAUUUUAGUAUCCAUAAGGGGUCUUAAAAUCAAUUCUCUGCAGGUGGUAUGGAAAAUGAUAUUACUUGGGAGAGAUGUUUAUCACUAUGGUUAUAUUUAGUGACUUGUCCUGGCUAACUCACAAAAGUCCAUUGUUUCCAGGGAUAUAUAGCUCAGUGGCACAAGUGCCUGCCUAGCAAGCAUGAGGUAGUGAGUUCGAUUCCUGGUACCAAAAAAAAGUCCAUUGUCAACUAUUUCAGAAUUUUUUGAGAUGGC